Alnus glutinosa is the source of this 1953-nucleotide RNA transcript. It is a transcript of the gene named F-box/LRR-repeat protein At3g58980-like, with no coding region annotated. Lineage: Eukaryota; Viridiplantae; Streptophyta; Magnoliopsida; Fagales; Betulaceae. The transcript is spliced from 7 exons. The record is from RefSeq and is a predicted model, not a curated record.
CACAAAAGGUUGGGUUUCUGCCACAACCGUAUAGAAGUGAUUCUCUUGUCCGAAACACUUUCAAAUUUCAAAAUCUUCCCCCCCCCUCUCUCUCUCUCUCUCUCUCUCUCUCUCUCUCUCUCUCGCCAGACUCUCUAUCACUUUUCGCCGGGAAAUCUCUUGCCAGAUACCCUCUCACUUUUCGCCGGAAAUGCUCUUCAUUUUCGCCGGAAAUCUCUCUAUCGCCGGAAACGCUCCUCUCUUGCCGGAAAGCUCUCCAUUUUCGCCGGAAACGCUCCUCUCUCGUUGGUCAGUGAAAAAGGCAAAUUUUAUUAUCAUGGAAAAGCUGUCUAAACUGGAGGCAUGUUCUUUGUUGCAAUCUAAAGGAAGUUUUGUAGAUAAUAGCGACAGAAUCAGCAAUCUUCCGAAUCAUAUUGCUCAUCACAUCCUUUCAUUUCUUACAAUGGAAAACAUUGCACGAUUGAGCGUAGUGUCAAAGUGGUGGCAAGAAUUAUGCAUAUCUAUUCCGUCCUUGACCCUUAACGUUGACGGUAGGCGAUAUAAAGGCAAGGAUUUUAAACUAAUUUACUUCAAGAAUUUUCUUGAUAGGUUGAUGCUUCGACGCAAUGGAAUGAAGAUGGUGCAGUUUUGCGUUCAUUGGACUUUUCCUGAUUGGCAUUCUGAAGAAUAUCGUUUUCUCACAUGGUUGCAUGAUGCAGUAAGGUCUAAUGUUGAAGUGCUUUAUCUUGACCUUUGUAUAUUUCGUCGAGGGACUUUUCACAUGCCACUUUGUGUUUUGCAUUGUGAAUCGUUGAGGUUUCUAACAGUGAGUUUGUUUGGAGGGGUUCUCCAACUGCCGUCCUCAACUGGGUUCAAGAAGCUUCAAUCGUUAUCACUAACACAUGUUCGAGUUCUUGACGACCUUUUUGUGGAACGGGUCUUGUCUUCUUGCAACUCCCUUGAUAAGUUAUGCCUUCAUGGCGUUAAUGGGACGAAUAACAUUAGCAUCCAGUCCUCAUCUCUUAAAUAUCUAGAAAUUACGAGUUAUAUGCAUAAUGACCUAUUCCAUGUGAAUGUCUCUGGGGAGCUACUUGAGGAGUUGAUAAUAUGCUGGAAAUUUUUUCCCUCUGGUGGUAGAUCACUGAAAAUUGCUACUCCCCAUCUCAAAUGUUUUACAUGGGGUGGAUUUGCUCCAGAUAACUAUUUUCUGGGGAACUUAAAGUGUUUACGUUCUUGUGCAUUAAGUCUUGAACAGCUUUCUAGCUCAUGGAGGCCCCCGCACAUGGAGUAUUUCCAAUUUCUAGAAGGGAUCAAAGAUCUAGUGAUACAGUUUCCGUGUCUUCAGGCAUUAUAUGAGGCAGGCAUGCUACCGAUUCCUUUGAAGCAUGUACAUACUUUGCGUAUAAACUUUACAGAUAGUGACUAUGACAAUCUAGUGCCAGCGAUGGCCUUACUUCUGAAAGGAGCGGCUAAGGCAUUGGACAAGAUUAAGUUCCUUUCUCUCACAAGAAAAGAGAUUUUGGGCAAAGGAAAGAACACCGAGCCUGACAUCCAGAUUAAAUUAGACAAGGAGAAGAAAAUCCUUUCAAUUUGUGACAGAGGUAUUGGUAUGACAAAGGAUGAUUUAAUCAAGAAUUUGGGAAUCAUAGCAAAGUCUGGAACUUCAGUGUUCGGGGAGAAAACGCAGACGAGUUGAGAUCUCAAUCUCAUUGGGCAGUUUGGAGUUCCCUCAAUUUAUUUUGUAGCAUUACUUUAACUUAUUUUUGCAAAUAAAUUGCAAUACAUACGGAGGGCAUCAUGGAGACAGGAAAAGGCCCUAAAAUAAAGAGGCUUGACAAUCAAUAGAAAGCACGUUUUCAGGAAGCAUAACAAUCUUUUUCUGUGCAAUAUAUUUUUUAUAUUUUUAUAUUUUUUAUUUAAUAAGUGGAGAUUGUUGUGUAUACCUUUGUGAAAAAUAAAUAAUAGAAUUAACCA